RNAcentral lists this ribosomal RNA (473 nucleotides) under uncultured eukaryote. Its description in RNAcentral is "bacterial SSU rRNA". It matches the Rfam family "Eukaryotic small subunit ribosomal RNA", at positions 404 to 875 of the family's 1831-position model. The record is from RNAcentral.
CGGCUACCACUUCCAAGGAAGGCAGCAGGCGCGCAACUUACCCUAAUCUCGAUUCGAGGAGGUAGUGACAAGAAAUACCGAUGCGGGACCCUACGGGUGCCGCGUUCGGAAUGAGUACGAUUCGAACCACCUAACGAGGAACGAUCGGAGGGCAAGUCUGGUGCCAGCAGCCGCGGUAAUUCCAGCUCCAAUAGCGUACGUUAAAGUUGCUGCAGUUAAAAAGCUCGUAGUUGAACGUUCGGGUUCCGCGGGACGGGGCCGCCCCGCGAGGGACGGCGCCGCCCCGGGGCUCGUGAUAUCUCAUCUCGCCGCCCGUCGCGAGGCGGACGGAGGGAUGGAUGAGGUUACCUGGAAAAAAUCGGGGCGAUCUAGGCGGGCGAACCUCGCCAACGAACGAUCGGACAUGGGAUAACGGAAGAGGGCGUCGGCUCGACUUCGUCGGUUCCUCGGGCCGAGGCACGUACGGUGAAUAG